RNAcentral lists this long non-coding RNA (415 nucleotides) under Salmo salar (Atlantic salmon). Its description in RNAcentral is "lncRNA (ENSSSAG00000105466.1)". The record is from RNAcentral. Lineage: Eukaryota; Metazoa; Chordata; Actinopteri; Salmoniformes; Salmonidae.
UAGGUUUACAAUAAGGGUUAGGUCUAGGUUUAGGAUAAGGGUUAGGUUUAGAAUAAGGGUUAGGGCUAGGUUUAGGAUAAGGGUUAGGUUUAGGAUAAGGGUUAAGGUUAGGUUUAGAAUAAGGGUUAGGGCUAGGUUUAGGAUAAGGGUUAAGUUCAGGGCUAGGAUAAAGGUUAGGUUUAGGUUUAGAAUAAGGGUUAGGUCUAGGUUUAGGAUUAGGGCUAGGUUUAGGAUAAGGGUUAAGUUCAGGGCUAGGAUAAAGGUUAGGUUUAGAAUAAGGGUUAGGGCUAGGUUUAGGAUAAGGGUUAAGUUCAGGGUUAGGAUAAGGGUUACUGUUAGGGUUAGUAGAUAGUUUAAAUGUUACUGAUAGUCUCUAGAGCAUAUACAGACGGAUGAUCCAAAGACCAAUUAGUGG